GGGCGUUAAGUUGCAGGGUAUAGACCCGAAACCCGGUGAUCUAGCCAUGGGCAGGUUGAAGGUUGGGUAACACUAACUGGAGGACCGAACCGACUAAUGUUGAAAAAUUAGCGGAUGACCUGUGGCUGGGGGUGAAAGGCCAAUCAAACCGGGAGAUAGCUGGUUCUCCCCGAAAGCUAUUUAGGUAGCGCCUCGUGAAUUCAUCUCCGGGGGUAGAGCACUGUUUCGGCUAGGGGGCCAUCCCGGCUUACCAACCCGAUGCAAACUGCGAAUACCGGAGAAUGUUAUCACGGGAGACACACGGCGGGUGCUAACGUCCGUCGUGAAGAGGGAAACAACCCAGACCGCCAGCUAAGGUCCCAAAGUCAUGGUUAAGUGGGAAACGAUGUGGGAAGGCCCAGACAGCCAGGAUGUUGGCUUAGAAGCAGCCAUCAUUUAAAGAAAGCGUAAUAGCUCACUGGUCGAGUCGGCCUGCGCGGAAGAUGUAACGGGGCUAAACCAUGCACCGAAGCUGCGGCAGCGACGCUGAUGCGUUGUUGGGUAGGGGAGCGUUCUGUAAGCCUGCGAAGGUGGCCUGUGAGGGUUGCUGGAGGUAUCAGAAGUGCGAAUGCUGACAUAAGUAACGAUAAAGCGGGUGAAAAGCCCGCUCGCCGGAAGACCAAGGGUUCCUGUCCAACGUUAAUCGGGGCAGGGUGAGUCGACCCCUAAGGCGAGGCCGAAAGGCGUAGUCGAUGGGAAACGGGUUAAUAUUCCCGUACUUGGUGUUACUGCGAAGGGGGGACGGAGAAGGCUAUGUUGGCCGGGCGACGGUUGUCCCGGUUUAAGCGUGUAGGUGUGUGUUCCAGGUAAAUCCGGUUCACUUUAACACUGAGGCGUGAUGACGAGGCACUACGGUGCUGAAGCAACAAAUGCCCUGCUUCCAGGAAAAGCCUCUAAGCAUCAGGUAACAUCAAAUCGUACCCCAAACCGACACAGGUGGUCAGGUAGAGAAUACCAAGGCGCUUGAGAGAACUCGGGUGAAGGAACUAGGCAAAAUGGUGCCGUAACUUCGGGAGAAGGCACGCUGACACGUAGGUGAAGUGAUUUACUCAUGGAGCUGAAGUCAGUCGAAGAUACCAGCUGGCUGCAACUGUUUAUUAAAAACACAGCACUGUGCAAACACGAAAGUGGACGUAUACGGUGUGACGCCUGCCCGGUGCCGGAAGGUUAAUUGAUGGGGUCAGCGCAAGCGAAGCUCCUGAUCGAAGCCCCGGUAAACGGCGGCCGUAACUAUAACGGUCCUAAGGUAGCGAAAUUCCUUGUCGGGUAAGUUCCGACCUGCACGAAUGGCGUAAUGAUGGCCAGGCUGUCUCCACCCGAGACUCAGUGAAAUUGAACUCGCUGUGAAGAUGCAGUGUACCCGCGGCAAGACGGAAAGACCCCGUGAACCUUUACUAUAGCUUGACACUGAACAUUGAGCCUUGAUGUGUAGGAUAGGUGGGAGGCUUUGAAGUGUGGACGCCAGUCUGCAUGGAGCCGGCCUUGAAAUACCACCCUUUAAUGUUUGAUGUUCUAACGUGGACCCGUGAUCCGGGUUGCGGACAGUGUCUGGUGGGUAGUUUGACUGGGGCGGUCUCCUCCUAAAGAGUAACGGAGGAGCACGAAGGUUGGCUAAUCCUGGUCGGACAUCAGGAGGUUAGUGCAAUGGCAUAAGCCAGCUUGACUGCGAGCGUGACGGCGCGAGCAGGUGCGAAAGCAGGUCAUAGUGAUCCGGUGGUUCUGAAUGGAAGGGCCAUCGCUCAACGGAUAAAAGGUACUCCGGGGAUAACAGGCUGAUACCGCCCAAGAGUUCAUAUCGACGGCGGUGUUUGGCACCUCGAUGUCGGCUCAUCACAUCCUGGGGCUGAAGUAGGUCCCAAGGGUAUGGCUGUUCGCCAUUUAAAGUGGUACGCGAGCUGGGUUUAGAACGUCGUGAGACAGUUCGGUCCCUAUCUGCCGUGGGCGCUGGAGAACUGAGGGGGGCUGCUCCUAGUACGAGAGGACCGGAGUGGACGCAUCACUGGUGUUCGGGUUGUCAUGCCAAUGGCACUGCCCGGUAGCUAAAUGCGGAAGAGAUAAGUGCUGAAAGCAUCUAAGCACGAAACUUGCCCCGAGAUGAGUUCUCCCUGAGACUUAGAGUCUCCUGAAGGAACGUUGAAGACGACGACGUUGACAGGCCGGGUGUGUAAGCGCAGCGAUGCGUUGAGCUAACCGGUACUAAUGAACCG
Molecule: ribosomal RNA, 2246 nt
Filed under: Salmonella enterica subsp. enterica serovar Schwarzengrund
Lineage: Bacteria; Pseudomonadati; Pseudomonadota; Gammaproteobacteria; Enterobacterales; Enterobacteriaceae
Description: bacterial LSU rRNA
Rfam family: Bacterial large subunit ribosomal RNA
Source: RNAcentral